Musa acuminata AAA Group (dessert banana) is the source of this 2340-nucleotide long non-coding RNA. RefSeq lists it as uncharacterized. Lineage: Eukaryota; Viridiplantae; Streptophyta; Magnoliopsida; Zingiberales; Musaceae. The transcript has 3 exons. The record is from RefSeq and is a predicted model, not a curated record.
AGCUGGCGUCCAGCUCUAAGUACACACAUCGAUGACGACGCCAACCCGACGCGAGUCGCCCGGCGUUUUCUUCGACCAUCGUCAUCCGAUUCCCAACCCGAGAAGGAGUUCGUCGCGUUGCAGAAAUAUGCGAAACGAGAGCCGGCUUGGUUGUCAUCGCCCCCUUUUGCGUUCAAAUAUCUCGCUUCCCACCACCACCAGAACCAUCACCGAAGUGAUCGCCGACCAAGAAGAGGACCGACCGCUACAUCCUGGGGCUCGAUCUUUCUGACGCCUGGACGACUGCCAGAUCCAGCUCCCCUCUGCUUCGCCCCCCUACUCGUGCAGAAUCCCAACACAGAGGACGAUUUUUCCUCCGCGCACACGUAUUUUGGGAUCAAGCAACAAAGAAAAACCAGAUUUUAACAUAGCACACCUAAUCUUGGCCAUCUGAUUAAUUUAGAGCUGUAACGACAUCCAUGACGCUGGGGCUUCUCAGGAUUUUCUGGAUCACUCUCACUAGGUUCCAUAAGCAAUGCCCGAAGGCAGCGUCUUCUAAUUCUGGGCUCACGAGUUGGUUUCUGGCUUUGGAUUGGCUUGGAAGGUGUCUUUUCAGUCUCCAGGGGUUCCACUGUUCUUUUGGAAACCAAGGUUUCCUUAGUUCUGGAGAGAUUCAAAUGGACGCCUGGGUUUCUGACACUGCAGGAACUUUCAUCGACAGCUGAGUUGUUGAUGCUUUGCACAUUGUUGUUAAUGCUGGUUGUAAAUGCCCCCUUUCCACUAUGCUGCCACUUUUCUUCACUGCAACUGCCUCUUGCAUCAACCUUCUCCUUGUCGAGCUUUUGAUCCUUGUGGGCAUGGUAGAAAUUCUCUCUAUCGGUACCCUCAUAACCUAUAAUCAUGGAUGCUCCACUGUUAUUGCCAGCCAAAGUAAGUACAUUUGUCGAUAGUCCAUUCCUCACCCCACCAGAAUAUCCAGUACCUAUCUUCUGUAACAGUUUAGAAAGCCCUUCCUUGAUCUCCUCCUUGAACAUGGCUCUCUUGCCAUCAUAGAAUGAAUCUUGUGGGAUAGUUGAAAUUGCAAUUUUCUGUUCCUCUCUGGUGGAACCAUCUUUUGUAUGCUCAGCAGUAUCGGUAUCCUUCCUGUGUUCUGCAUUUGAGUUAAUGGAUAGUGAGACUAAUCCACUUUGUGUGGGGGAUGUGAUCAGGCUGUUCUCAGAUGUCGUGCUGAGUUGCUUGACUUCUCCCUGUUCCUUCGACUUGUUGCGUUCUCCAGUGAAGGGCUUCUCUUCUGUGUCUGGUGUUGUCCUAAGCUUGUCUCUAUUAGUCCCUUCAGGUGUUGAAUAUGAAUUUGGGGCUUUGGUGGGAUUCUUAGGGUGGUUUGUUGUUAACUUUAGUUUAUGCUUCUCUUCUGCAGUUUGUUUGUUUGUAUCUUCCAACUUUCGAGAUUGAGAAGGCUCGGUUUCUUCUAAUUUAAUCUUCUCUCUUUGUUCUUUAGGUGUUGACGGCUGGGGUAAAGAAAUGGAGUACGAUUCUAGAGGUUUAUUCUCCAGCGAAUUGGUUGAUACAAGCAGCAAAUUUGGUUCCUGCAAAAUGUGGUUUCUUGUCGGCUUAGGAUUUGAAUCUUUUGUAAGAGGGAUAGCACGGGCCUGAGAUUUAGGAUGCAAUAUGGUUGGUGACGCGGACGCUAAUGUUGGCUGGGAUUCAUGGGCCAAUGACAAUGGCUGGUUCGAAGGAGAUGUUCUCUUUGCAGGUGAUGAAGAUUGUGAGUCAGAUGCAAGAGCUUGAGAUGAGAGCCGAGACUUCACCUGAGUUGAUGCAGUUUGUAAUGCGGAUUGGGACCUGAGAUUUCUUGCUACUGCAGCUUGCUUAUCUGAGUUGAUCGGAGACGGUUGUGGGGACUGAGGCCGUGAUCGCUGCUGUUCAUUUGCAUUUCUGGCUUGGGGACGAGAUGAUGGACGGUUUCGCGACGAAGCCAGUGGUGGUGAUGGUUGAGGAACUCUUCGGGUUGCGGUCGGUGAGGACGGUGAUGAGGAUGUUGUAUGAUCCAAAGGUUGCGAUGCAUCGCGACGCAGGGAUUUCUGUCGAGUUGGAUCGUGUUGUCGCGGAGUGCUACUCCUUGUCGGGUGAGUCCAGGCAGGCAGCCAGAAGCGAAAUGGCUGUGACUGGCUUCGUCUGUCCGCCAUACCUGCCUUGAGAGAGAACCGACUGUAGAAGGCUUACUAAAGAGAGCGGAUAAAGGAUGUCAGGUUGUCUAUAGAUCCAUGGCUUGAACGGGUUCAUGUGCAUCUGAUUCCUCCCUCCACGCGGCCUGUAAGUUUGGUAUCUCUUAUAACUUCUUUUCUUGAGAACUCGGACUUC